RNAcentral lists this ribosomal RNA (579 nucleotides) under uncultured bacterium. RNAcentral's name for it is "partial 16S ribosomal RNA". It matches the Rfam family "Bacterial small subunit ribosomal RNA", at positions 355 to 925 of the family's 1533-position model. The record is from RNAcentral.
UGGGGAAUAUUGGACAAUGGGCGCAAGCCUGAUCCAGCCAUACCGCGUGGGUGAAGAAGGCCUUCGGGUUGUAAAGCCCUUUUGUUGGGAAAGAAAUCCAGCUGGCUAAUACCCGGUUGGGAUGACGGUACCCAAAGAAUAAGCACCGGCUAACCUCGUGCCAGCAGCCGCGGUAAUACGAAGGGUGCAAGCGUUACUCGGAAUUACUGGGCGUAAAGCGUGCGUAGGUGGUCGUUUAAGUCCGUUGUGAAAGCCCUGGGCUCAACCUGGGAACUGCAGUGGAUACUGGGCGACUAGAGUGUGGUAGAGGGUAGCGGAAUUCCUGGUGUAGCAGUGAAAUGCGUAGAGAUCAGGAGGAACAUCCAUGGCGAAGGCAGCUACCUGGACCAACACUGACACUGAGGCACGAAAGCGUGGGGAGCAAACAGGAUUAGAUACCCUGGUAGUCCACGCCCUAAACGAUGCGAACUGGAUGUUGGGUGCAAUUUGGCACGCAGUAUCGAAGCUAACGCGUUAAGUUCGCCGCCUGGGGAGUACGGUCGCAAGACUGAAACUCAAAUGAAUUGACGGGGUCAUAGC